GCUCUAUUAGUUCAACGGUAGAGAACAUUAGCCUUUCAAACUAAAAGCAUCGGUUUGACUCUGGUAUAGAGUA
Molecule: transfer RNA, 73 nt
Filed under: Phakopsora pachyrhizi
Lineage: Eukaryota; Fungi; Basidiomycota; Pucciniomycetes; Pucciniales; Phakopsoraceae
Description: tRNA-Glu
Rfam family: tRNA
About the family: Transfer RNA (tRNA) molecules are approximately 80 nucleotides in length. Their secondary structure includes four short double-helical elements and three loops (D, anti-codon, and T loops). Further hydrogen bonds mediate the characteristic L-shaped molecular structure. tRNAs have two regions of fundamental functional importance: the anti-codon, which is responsible for specific mRNA codon recognition, and the 3' end, to which the tRNAs corresponding amino acid is attached (by aminoacyl-tRNA synthetases). tRNAs cope with the degeneracy of the genetic code in two manners: having more than one tRNA (with a specific anti-codon) for a particular amino acid; and 'wobble' base-pairing, i.e. permitting non-standard base-pairing at the 3rd anti-codon position.
Source: RNAcentral